This 72-nucleotide transfer RNA is filed under the name Camelus bactrianus (Bactrian camel). It matches the Rfam family "tRNA". Rfam says of the family: Transfer RNA (tRNA) molecules are approximately 80 nucleotides in length. Their secondary structure includes four short double-helical elements and three loops (D, anti-codon, and T loops). RNAcentral also lists the same sequence under 1 other name. The record is from Rfam by way of RNAcentral. Lineage: Eukaryota; Metazoa; Chordata; Mammalia; Artiodactyla; Camelidae.
CGGGAUAUAGCUCAGUGGUAGAGUACCUGCUUAGCACGCACAAGGUCCUGGGUUCAAUACCCAGUAUCUCCA